Molecule: ribosomal RNA, 379 nt
Filed under: uncultured eukaryote
Lineage: Eukaryota
Description: partial 18S ribosomal RNA
Rfam family: Eukaryotic small subunit ribosomal RNA
Source: RNAcentral
CAAUAGCGUAUAUUUAAGUUGUUGCAGUUAAAAAGCUCGUAGUUGGAUUUCGGCUGGGAUUUGCCGGUCCGUCGUUACGAUGUGCACUGGCCAGUCCUAUCUUGUUGUCGGGGACUAGCUCCUUGGAUUCACUUCCUGGGACUAGGAGCUGACGAGGUUACUUUGAGUAAAUUAGAGUGUUCAAAGCAAGCCUACGCUCUGAAUACAUUAGCAUGGAAUAACACGAUAGGACUCUGGCUUAUCUUGUUGGUCUGUGAGACCAGAGUAAUGAUUAAGAGGGACAGUCGGGGACAUUCGUAUUUCAUUGUCAGAGGUGAAAUUCUUGGAUUUAUGAAAGACGAACUUCUGCGAAAGCAUUUGUCAAGGAUGUUUUCAUUAA